This 537-nucleotide ribosomal RNA is filed under the name Shigella flexneri. RNAcentral describes it as "bacterial SSU rRNA". It matches the Rfam family "Bacterial small subunit ribosomal RNA", at positions 250 to 779 of the family's 1533-position model. Lineage: Bacteria; Pseudomonadati; Pseudomonadota; Gammaproteobacteria; Enterobacterales; Enterobacteriaceae. The record is from RNAcentral.
AGGUGGGGUAACGGCUCACCUAGGCGACGAUCCCUAGCUGGUCUGAGAGGAUGACCAGCCACACUGGAACUGAGACACGGUCCAGACUCCUACGGGAGGCAGCAGUGGGGAAUAUUGCACAAUGGGCGCAAGCCUGAUGCAGCCAUGCCGCGUGUAUGAAGAAGGCCUUCGGGUUGUAAAGUACUUUCAGCGGGGAGGAAGGGAGUAAAGUUAAUACCUUUGCUCAUUGACGUUACCCGCAGAAGAAGCACCGGCUAACUCCGUGCCAGCAGCCGCGGUAAUACGGAGGGUGCAAGCGUUAAUCGGAAUUACUGGGCGUAAAGCGCACGCAGGCGGUUUGUUAAGUCAGAUGUGAAAUCCCCGGGCUCAACCUGGGAACUGCAUCUGAUACUGGCAAGCUUGAGUCUCGUAGAGGGGGGUAGAAUUCCAGGUGUAGCGGUGAAAUGCGUAGAGAUCUGGAGGAAUACCGGUGGCGAAGGCGGCCCCCUGGACGAAGACUGACGCUCAGGUGCGAAAGCGUGGGGAGCAAACAGGAUU